Molecule: long non-coding RNA, 235 nt
Organism: Ficedula albicollis (Collared flycatcher)
Lineage: Eukaryota; Metazoa; Chordata; Aves; Passeriformes; Muscicapidae
Exons: 3
Source: RefSeq, a predicted model, not a curated record
CCCAGCGGCUGCAGCACGAGGUGCAGGAGCUGCUCCGGGACGUGGAGCAGAUCCAGAGCUCGGUGAAGGAGUCGGGGGCCGAGGAGGAGCUGACGCCCAUGGCGCUGGCCAGGCAGGUGGAGGGGCUGAAGCAGCAGCUGCUCAGCUCCCACCUGGAGAAGGUGCUGGGCCCCGGAGCUGCUGUGGACUUUGCUGACCCCGAGGGGGCCCUGGCCAAGCGGCUCCUGCAGCACCC